This is a non-coding RNA of Podarcis lilfordi (Lilford's wall lizard), 76 nucleotides long. Lineage: Eukaryota; Metazoa; Chordata; Lepidosauria; Squamata; Lacertidae. The record is from the annotation of a GenBank genome assembly.
GGAUAGCUCAGUUGGCUAGAGCAUGGUGCUGAUAACGCCAAGGUUGCAGGUUUGAUCCCUAUAAUGGACAGCUCCA